RNAcentral lists this ribosomal RNA (262 nucleotides) under uncultured archaeon. Its description in RNAcentral is "partial 16S ribosomal RNA". It matches the Rfam family "Archaeal small subunit ribosomal RNA", at positions 748 to 1008 of the family's 1478-position model. The record is from RNAcentral.
CAGCCGUAAACAAUGUGCGUUAGGUGUGUCGGUAACCACGUGUUACUGAUGCGCCGAAGAGAAAUCGUGAAACGCACCACCUGGGAAGUACGGUCGCAAGGCUGAAACUUAAAGGGAAUUGGCGGGGGAGCACCACAACAGGUGGAGCCUGCGGUUUAAUUGGAUUCAACGCCGGACAUCUCACCGGAUAAGACAGCUGAAUGAUUGUCAAUCUGAAGGUUUUACAUGACUAGCUGAGAGGAGGUGCAUGGCGUCAGUGACU